This 252-nucleotide ribosomal RNA is filed under the name uncultured bacterium. RNAcentral describes it as "partial 16S ribosomal RNA". It matches the Rfam family "Bacterial small subunit ribosomal RNA", at positions 524 to 776 of the family's 1533-position model. The record is from RNAcentral.
UACGGAGGAUGCGAGCGUUAUCCGGAUUUAUUGGGUUUAAAGGGUGCGCAGGCGGUCUGUUAAGUCAGCGGUCAAAGCCCGGGGCUCAACCCCGGCCCGCCGUUGAAACUGGCAGUCUCGAGUUGGAGAGAAGUGUGCGGAAUGCGCGGUGUAGCGGUGAAAUGCAUAGAUAUCGCGCAGAACUCCGAUUGCGAAGGCAGCAUGCCGGCUCCACACUGACGCUGAGGCACGAAAGCGUGGGUAUCGAACAGG